UGCAUUUGGGAGAAAGCAGCGAUCCUCUCCUUUCAAGUGGUAGAGGCACUUUUGUUAACCUUUUCCAGGAGGAAGUGACAACUGUAUGAAAUGAAAAAGUGCGGAAAGGGCAAGUGUUCAAUUUGCUGAUUUAUUUCAAGUAAAAAUGGUAGAUACCGGCAAGAGCAGUCCUAGUACACUGAUGAACCAACCAUUCACAUUCUGGUGAAAUAAAACACUCCUGUGUCUCAUGAUGGAAAGCAUGAAUGCUAAAGGAACUCAGCAAUGAAUAAAUGGCUGUCAGUCACCUCUUUUUUUGCAACUGCUAAUCUCCUACUCUGAUCCAAGAAUAUAAACAUAUUCCGCAAAGAGUAAGAUUCUUACAAGUACUGAGCAAUUCUUCCAGAUAGAACUCUUGUAUCUUCCUCUUUGGGCUUCAUUCUCAGUGUUUUCACAGGGUACUUCAGAGACUGAGCAGCAGAUGUAAAUGAUUCCCCUGCCUUUUCAUGGUAGUAGGAAACCUCACCAAGAGACUCUGAAGUCAGAAAUAAAACACAGUUUCUUCUACUUCAUAACAUCUGGAUUGAAGUUUCCAGAUAAAUCCUAUGAUUAAGCAGAGAAGCCAGCCAUUGUAUCAUUUCUACUGUUUCAGUUCAUCACCCCUAAAUCACAGCAUACCUCCUGCUGGAUCUUCUUUGUGACACAUUACUUUCAUUUCAAAAGACAGUCUAAUAUGCUACCUACCACAGGACACUUUAAUUGGUUGGGCUUGAAAUGGAUAGAAGGGAGCAAGGCAAUACAUCUAAGCUGUCACUCAUCUCUAAGAUGUAAAGAUGUUGUUGUUGCUUAAAUGGUAGAUAUUCCCUCACAGGGGCCAUUAGACUACCUUUUACGCCAGAUCAGGAACUGAAUUAUGCACGUGAAGUUCAUAUUCACCCCAAAUCUCCCACAAGCGAAUUGGAGACUUGCACAACCAUUUCGGGGCAAAUGCCCCUUAGCGCACAUCAUUUGAAAUUGGGGUAAAAGCUGUAUCUUUUGGGGAAAAAAUAGG
Sceloporus undulatus (fence lizard) is the source of this 1030-nucleotide long non-coding RNA. RefSeq lists it as uncharacterized. Lineage: Eukaryota; Metazoa; Chordata; Lepidosauria; Squamata; Phrynosomatidae. The transcript has 3 exons. The record is from RefSeq and is a predicted model, not a curated record.